GGGGAUGGAAAGCAUAUCAAAUUCUAGAAAGACACUUGGUCGACUUUCAACAAAUCAAUCAUUACUCAAAUAGAAUACCCGCUAAAUUUUGAGGAGGAGGACAUUACGGUUUCCAACUUUAUCAAAGAGGGUACAUGGGAUAUUGGUCCUUUACGCAAUGUUCUACCAAAAAACAUAACUAAUAAGAUUUAUGCAACCUUUAUUCCAGACAAGAUAGGAUUGAUAGAUAAACCUACUUGCUCCCUAGUCACAAAUGGUAAGUUCUUAACGUACAGUGCUUAUAAAUACCUCCUGGAUAAAGGUAAUGGGACUACUCAUUCUCCUGAGAAUUUCAAAUGGAUAUGAAAGUUAU
RNAcentral lists this long non-coding RNA (352 nucleotides) under Capsicum annuum. RNAcentral's name for it is "long non-coding RNA (CANN_LNC000382)". Lineage: Eukaryota; Viridiplantae; Streptophyta; Magnoliopsida; Solanales; Solanaceae. The record is from RNAcentral.